AUUGAACGCUGGCGGCAGGCCUAACACAUGCAAGUCGAGCGAGCGGCGGACGGGUGAGUAAUGUAUGGGGACUGCCCGAUAGAGGGGGAUAACUACUGGAAACGGUGGCUAAUACCGCAUACUAUCGGAUAACCCAUAGGGGAUUAGCUAGUAGGUGGGGUAAAGGCUCACCUAGGCGACGAUCGCUAGCUGGUCCGAGAGGAUGAUCGGCCAAACGGGGACUGAGACACGGCCCAGACUCCUACGGAGGCAGCAGUGGGGAAUAUUGCACAAUGGGCGAAAGACUGAUGCAGCCAUGCCGCGUGUAUGAAGAAGGCCUUAGGGUUGUAAAGUACUUUAAGCGGGGAGGCGUUACCCGCAGAAGAAGCACCGGCUAACUACGUGCCAGCAGCCGCGGUAAUUC
Molecule: ribosomal RNA, 403 nt
Filed under: uncultured bacterium
Lineage: Bacteria
Description: partial 16S ribosomal RNA
Rfam family: Bacterial small subunit ribosomal RNA
Source: RNAcentral